ACUAGGCUUUGAAUUUCAUGGGUAAUGUUUUGUUUUUGAGUGCAUACAAGAAUGACUCCGCCUUUAAUUGUUAAUUGCAUGCCAUAGAUGUUACCUAAAUGAACAUGUUUUUCACAAAAUUUCCUUCAAGUGGUAUCAAGAGCCUGGGUCUAGUAGUUGGUGAAUCCUUUUGGGUUUUGUAGUUCAUAGUCUUUGAUUUGAAUGCUGUAAUUGUUAGAAGCUUUAUUCUUGCUUCUUUGAAUGUAAAUUUUGUUAGAAAAUUUGCCAUCUCCAAUGUUGUAGACGUAGUUCAUAUGAGCAUGAAUUUUGGAGCUAAAAUUUGGUGCCAUGUUUUUGGGGAAAUUUGGCCAAAUCCAAAGGGUGGUUUUUUGGGUUCUUGUUUGUCUUGUUAAAAGUGUUUUAAGGUGACUUUUGGUGUUUUGUUUCAAUUUGUUUGUUGCUUUGAAUAAAGUUUUGGUUUAUUAUUGAUUGGUGAUGGAUGAUUUAUGCCUUUAUUGUUUGACAAAACAUUUUUCUUACAACCCAUCCCAAUCAACUUUUCCUCACCUACCUAUCCACUUGCACAAAACACUUUCAAAUUUUGAAUUUUUCACCAAAACCUUUUCCCCCCUCCUUUUUUUCACUCUCACCAACCGGCCACCCUAUUAAAAUAGGGUACGUUUGGGGCUUUUAUGCAAUUACAUAAAGUUUUGAUACUUUUGUUUAUUUGUACUUUGACUCGAAAGUUUAUGUUUUUACGUAAAGGCCCAAAAACACUAAAGGACAAAUUGUUUUGCUCCUUUAAUGAAGUUUUUGUAUUUGAUGAAAUUUUUGGGUUCUAGUUGUAAUUACAUGAAGUAGUGGACUUUUGUGUUCUUACAAAGUGACCUCAAAAGUUUGUGUUUUACAACAUAGCCCAAAAAGUUGUGGUUAUUGCAUUUGGCCCAAAUUAGUUGAGAACAAAAUAGUUUUGUAUCUGUAAAUGAGAAUUGGAUUUUCAUUUCAUUUAGCUCCAUUUAAAUCAAUUCUAUGGAAACAAAAACCAAAUGAAAAUGUUGCAUUCAAGUUUAAUUAGUUAAAGCGUUAAUUAAUUAAAGAAAGGGUGAUUAUGAACCUAAGCCUACGAUAAUUGAGCUAUGUGAAAGGCCGUCUCAAAUUUGUUUGAACCAUGGGAAUGUGUAGAUUAGAUUUUGGUUGUAAUUUGAUAUGAUCAAAUGUUGUAAAAGAGCAUAAGCUCUUCUUUACUUAAAGUAAUUUGUUUUGAUCAAAUGUUGUAAAAGAGCAUAAGCUUUUCUUUACUUUGAAGUACUCAUUUUCUUGUUUUAUUUGAUAUGCAUGAAAUUGGAGUAGUUGGGUCCAACACCGAAUAGGAGAAACGCGCCUUAAUAUGAUUAAACGCGUAACUAAAAUCAAUCACCAUCCCUAGACCGAGAUCCAACACUAGGCUCGUGUUCGAUCUAAUCAAAGGUUCAUAGUCAUCCUAAGGCUCUAAGGCAACUAUAUAGUCCAUCAAGGAAUGCAAACCUUAUGUUAGUAGUACCAUAUACUCUUGCUUUAAAAACCGUUUUACAAGCAUAGUUGGAGUAUCAUAUACUACUAAAUCAAUCAUAUGGACCAAUAGUUGUAAUAGGACCAAAUUGUUUUAAUAAGAUUAAAAUGUAUGUUUAUAUGUGAUGAGACCUAAAACCCUCAACCAAACCAUUAUUAAGUUUAUAAGCGUGAGAGUGCUUUGAACACUCUUUCGUGGCCUUCCACCGUGGUAGGCUCCGAUCGCUUGUGACUCGUACACCGACUUCACCCUAUCAUGGGGGAGUACAAAGUGCGUACUUACACUCAGGAAGAGUUCUAUAUGCAUACAUGAUGUUGUGAAGGUAGGCAAUGAGAAUGAUCAACAUCAUAUCAUUGUGAGGUUGUUCUUGAACCCCUACUCGAACUUGCAUGUGGGAAUGACUUAACUGAAUGCAAUGGAGCCAACAUCAUAUCAUUGUGAGGCUUCAUUCUCUAGAGGCCAAAUAAGAUGGGUACUUGCAAGAGAUGCAAAUGAGUAAGCGUACUCUCUCAUUAUUAUUGAUGCUAGCCAACAUCAUAUCAUUGUGAGGUGGGCUUGGUAAUGAUAAGUCUCCCAUACCCUACUAAGAGUUUCCUCCAAAACUCUCGAAUUCCGAUGAGGGAUAUGGAAUUUGCCAAAAAUAGUGGGUGGUGCUAUUUGAUUUAAAGACCCGGAUCAAAUGGCUUAAAAUCAAUUUAUAUUCGUUAUGUAUUUGUUUAUCAAUAUAUUUGCAAACGCUAUCCAAAAAUUUGACAAAGAAAAGCCGAAAGCUUUAGUUUCCGGACUUGGUACUACAAUCCCAUAGAUUAUCUAUAAUGGCUUGUAUAUGUACCUAAGAAAUCUCAUACUCACAAUCUUCCUAUUGAUAAUGUAUCAUUGGAAGAACAUGUUAGAUAAGUCUAUCAUAAAGAGGACAACACUUUUAAUGUCAUAAUUCUUCAAUUACAAAUUGUUGUAUGAAGAAAUAAGAGUUGCUUUGAACAACCCUUAGCUAAUGCAAACAUUAGUGCUUGUUUCUUUGUUACAUGAACAAGGAACUUGAGAAGUAAGCACAAGGACAUGGACACUCUGUGUGCCAUGAUUCUUCACUUAUAAAUUGUUGUAUGAAGAAAUGAGAGUUGCCUUGAACAACUCUUGAAAGUUUGUAAUUAUGUUUAGAACAUAAUGGUUGGUUGAUAAAAUAGUCCAUCAACAUGGACUUAUGAUGAUUUUGAAUCAUUGAGUGUUGAAGUGUUAAACCACUUCUAGAGACGGAAACUAGGCAAUGACUUCACCUUUGUGUCCCUAUCCAAAUGGUUCACUAAGUUUAUUGUAAACUAUAUAGUGAACAAUAAC
RNAcentral lists this long non-coding RNA (2863 nucleotides) under Malus domestica (apple). RNAcentral describes it as "long non-coding RNA (MDOM_LNC012828)". Lineage: Eukaryota; Viridiplantae; Streptophyta; Magnoliopsida; Rosales; Rosaceae. The record is from RNAcentral.